Long non-coding RNA from Lepidothrix coronata (blue-crowned manakin), 181 nucleotides. RefSeq lists it as uncharacterized. The record is from RefSeq and is a predicted model, not a curated record. Lineage: Eukaryota; Metazoa; Chordata; Aves; Passeriformes; Pipridae. The transcript has 2 exons.
CCGGGCCGGGCCGGGCUGAGGCGCCGCGCCCUGAGGCGGCCUCUUUGGGUGCGAAAUGCUGAGGACGCUGCAUGUGCUAAUAUGUGAAUGGCUUAAUGAAGCAGCGUGACCAUCUCAUGCAGUACAGGAGCAUGUAGUGCGGUUACAUUUAUCGUUUCUAUGCUACUCAUCUUGGAUAUCU